RNAcentral lists this ribosomal RNA (456 nucleotides) under uncultured Chloroflexota bacterium. RNAcentral's name for it is "bacterial SSU rRNA". It matches the Rfam family "Bacterial small subunit ribosomal RNA", at positions 916 to 1381 of the family's 1533-position model. The record is from RNAcentral. Lineage: Bacteria; Bacillati; Chloroflexota.
ACGGGGCCCGCACAAGCAGCGGAGCGUGUGGUUUAAUUCGAUGCAACGCGAAGAACCUUACCAGGGUUUGACAUGCUUAAAGUAGGAACUCGAAAGAGGGACGACCCUGUAUCCAGUCAGGAGUUUGCACAGGUGCUGCAUGGCUGCCGUCAGCUCGUGCCGUGAGGUGUUAGGUUAAGUCCUGCAACGAGCGCAACCCUCGUCGCUAGUUGUUUCUCUAGCGAUACUGCCCGUAUAACGUGGAGGAAGGUGGGAUGACGUCAAGUCAGCAUGGCCCUUACAUCCUGGGCUACACACACGCUACAAUGGGUGAUACAACAGGUUGCAAUAGAGUAAUCUGGAGCCAAUCCCUAAAAUCAUCCUCAGUACGGAUUGCAGGCUGCAACUGCCUGCAUGAAGUUGGAGUUGCUAGUAAACGCAGGUCAGCACACUGCGUUGAAUACGUUCUCGGGCCUU